GGAGAGGUGUCCGAGAGGCUUAAGGAGCACGAUUGGAAUUCGUGUGUACGUUUGUAGCGUACCGAGGGUUCGAAUCCCUCUCUCUCCGCCA
Molecule: transfer RNA, 91 nt
Filed under: Candidatus Parabeggiatoa sp. HSG14
Lineage: Bacteria; Pseudomonadati; Pseudomonadota; Gammaproteobacteria; Thiotrichales; Thiotrichaceae
Also listed under: 1 other name
Description: tRNA-Ser
Rfam family: tRNA
About the family: Transfer RNA (tRNA) molecules are approximately 80 nucleotides in length. Their secondary structure includes four short double-helical elements and three loops (D, anti-codon, and T loops). Further hydrogen bonds mediate the characteristic L-shaped molecular structure. tRNAs have two regions of fundamental functional importance: the anti-codon, which is responsible for specific mRNA codon recognition, and the 3' end, to which the tRNAs corresponding amino acid is attached (by aminoacyl-tRNA synthetases). tRNAs cope with the degeneracy of the genetic code in two manners: having more than one tRNA (with a specific anti-codon) for a particular amino acid; and 'wobble' base-pairing, i.e. permitting non-standard base-pairing at the 3rd anti-codon position.
Source: RNAcentral